GGUCCCGUGGCCCAAUGGAUAAGGCGUCUGACUACGAAUCAGGAGAUUGUGGGUUCGAGUCCCAUCGGGAUCA
This 73-nucleotide transfer RNA is filed under the name Intoshia linei. It matches the Rfam family "tRNA". Rfam says of the family: Transfer RNA (tRNA) molecules are approximately 80 nucleotides in length. Their secondary structure includes four short double-helical elements and three loops (D, anti-codon, and T loops). Lineage: Eukaryota; Metazoa; Orthonectida; Rhopaluridae. The record is from Rfam by way of RNAcentral.